Molecule: ribosomal RNA, 499 nt
Filed under: uncultured bacterium
Lineage: Bacteria
Description: bacterial SSU rRNA
Rfam family: Bacterial small subunit ribosomal RNA
Source: RNAcentral
AGAGUUUGAUCAUGGCUCAGAUUGAACGCUGGCGGAAUGCUUUACACAUGCAAGUCGAACGGCAGCACGGGGCAACCUGGUGGCGAGUGGCGAACGGGUGAGUAAUACAUCGGAACGUGCCCAAUCGUGGGGGAUAACGUAGCGAAAGUUACGCUAAUACCGCAUACGAUCUACGGAUGAAAGCGGGGGAUCGCAAGACCUCGCGCGAAUGGAGCGGCCGAUGUCAGAUUAGGUAGUUGGUGGGGUAAAGGCUCACCAAGCCAACGAUCUGUAGCUGGUCUGAGAGGACGACCAGCCACACUGGAACUGAGACACGGUCCAGACUCCUACGGGAGGCAGCAGUGGGAAUUUUGGACAAUGGGCGCAAGCCUGAUCCAGCCAUUCCGCGUGCAGGAUGAAGGCCUUCGGGUUGUAAACUGCUUUGUACGGAACGAAAGGUCCUGGUUAAUACCUGGGGCUCAUGACGGUACCGUAAGAAUAAGCACCGGCUAACUACGUG